This is a long non-coding RNA of Ailuropoda melanoleuca (giant panda), 346 nucleotides long. RefSeq lists it as uncharacterized. The record is from RefSeq and is a predicted model, not a curated record. The transcript has 3 exons. NCBI's taxonomy places the organism in Eukaryota, Metazoa, Chordata, Mammalia, Carnivora, Ursidae.
CAGCUCUGAAGCUCUUGACCUAGAUUACAUUCUUUGUUUCAUCGCUGUCUGUUGACUGAACCUCCGGCUUCCGAUCCAGAAGACAGAGAAAACUCCUAUCUGCUGUGAGAGGCAAGAAUUCAGAGAGGUUGAGGAACUGGCGGAAGGUCGCACAGCUGGUGAGAGGCAUUGCUGUCAUUUCACAGAAUGCUGCCUGGGCUGGGAGCCACACUAGGUCAGUCACCAUGGAGGCGCCUGUGACACCGCUCUUCACCACGAGGAGGCCUGGCCUGCUUCUGCCUUGCCCUGAGGCUUAGGGAAGGUGCUCCCCAAACACUGAGGUACAGGUCUGUGAUUCAUCAGUCUU